Molecule: ribosomal RNA, 464 nt
Filed under: uncultured bacterium
Lineage: Bacteria
Description: partial 16S ribosomal RNA
Rfam family: Bacterial small subunit ribosomal RNA
Source: RNAcentral
CGAACGCUGGCGGCGCGCCUAACACAUGCAAGUCGAACGAGCGAGAGAGAGCUUGCUUUCUCGAGCGAGUGGCGAACGGGUGAGUAACGCGUGAGGAACCUGCCUCAAAGAGGGGGACAACAGUUGGAAACGACUGCUAAUACCGCAUAAGCCCACGACCCGGCAUCGGGUAGAGGGAAAAGGAGCAAUCCGCUUUGAGAUGGCCUCGCGUCCGAUUAGCUAGUUGGUGAGGUAACGGCCCACCAAGGCGACGAUCGGUAGCCGGACUGAGAGGUUGAACGGCCACAUUGGGACUGAGACACGGCCCAGACUCCUACGGGAGGCAGCAGUGGGGAAUAAUGCACAAUGGGGGAAACCCUGAUGCAGCGACGCCGCGUGGAGGAAGAAGGUCUUCGGAUUGUAAACUCCUGUUGUUGAGGAAGAUAAUGACGGUACUCAACAAGGAAGUGACGGCUAACUACGUG